Molecule: ribosomal RNA, 253 nt
Filed under: uncultured bacterium
Lineage: Bacteria
Description: partial 16S ribosomal RNA
Rfam family: Bacterial small subunit ribosomal RNA
Source: RNAcentral
UACAUGGGGCGCAAACGUUGCUCGGAAUUACUGGGCGUAAAGCGCACGUAGGCGGAUACUUAAGUCAGGGGUGAAAUCCCGGGGCUCAACCCCGGAACUGCCUUUGAUACUGGGUAUCUCGAGUCCGGAAGAGGUGAGUGGAAUUCCGAGUGUAGAGGUGAAAUUCGUAGAUAUUCGGAGGAACACCAGUGGCGAAGGCGGCUCACUGGUCCGGUACUGACGCUGAGGUGCGAAAGCGUGGGGAGCAAACAGG